UUGGAGGGCAAGUCUGGUGCCAGCAGCCGUGGUAAUUCCAGCUCCAAUAGCGUAUAUUAAAGUUGUUGCAGUUAAAAAGCUCGUAGUUGAAUUUCGGGAUUGACGUGAUGGUCAUGCCUUAAGGGGUAUGAACUGUUGCUGUUGAUUUCUCACCUUCUGGAGAAACUUGAUGUCCUUAAUUGGGUGUCUUGCGGAUCCAGGACCUUUACCUUGAAAAGAUUAGAGUGUUUAAAGCAGGCAUUUUUGCUCGAAUACAUUAGCAUGGAAUAAUAGAAUAGGACGGCAUGGUUCUAUUUUGUUGGUUUCUAGGAUCACCGUAAUGAUUAAUAGGGAUAGUUGGGGGCAUUAGUAUUCGAUUGUCAGAGGUGAAAUUCUUGGAUUUAUUGAAGACUAACUACUGCGAAAGCAUUUGCCAAGGAUGUUUUCAUUAAUCAAGAACGAAAGUUAGGGGAUCGAAGACGAUCAGAUACCGUCGUAGCCUUAACCAUAAACUAUGCCGACUAGGAAUCAGACGAUGUUAAUUUUUUAAUGACUCGUUUGGCACCUUACGGGAAACCAAAGUGUUUGGGUUC
Molecule: ribosomal RNA, 572 nt
Filed under: uncultured Glomeromycotina
Lineage: Eukaryota; Fungi; Glomeromycota
Description: SSU rRNA
Rfam family: Eukaryotic small subunit ribosomal RNA
Source: RNAcentral